Molecule: non-coding RNA, 346 nt
Organism: Pelodiscus sinensis (Chinese soft-shelled turtle)
Lineage: Eukaryota; Metazoa; Chordata; Testudines; Trionychidae
Source: RefSeq, a predicted model, not a curated record
UGAGGACAGACACACUUCCUGUUCCAUUCCGGCCGAACUCCUGCUCUCUCCGGAUCUCUGGAACCAUGGAGCUGGCAGCCCUCUGAUCCCUGACCCCAGCCCCAGCCGCGGCCCUGGAACCGCACAACCCUCUGCGAUCGCCCUCUCCCGGGUGCUGCACCGAGCAGAAAGAACCAGCCUGUUCUCUUUAACACCUGCAUGGACUCGACGGAUGCACGGUCAGUCUGACUCCGCCAACCAGCCACCUUGCUCCCGAGCCCUAUGCCUCCUGAGCCAGCCGCUCCAUCGCCACCCUGUCUGCGCAGCCCCGAGGGAGUGUCCGUGGGAACCACUGCACGCCGUGCAC